UAGGGAAUCUUCCACAAUGGACGAAAGUCUGAUGGAGCAACGCCGCGUGAGUGAUGAAGGUUUUCGGAUCGUAAAACUCUGUUGUAAGGGAAGAACAGGUAUGAGAGGUAAUGCUCAUACUAUGACGGUACCUUACGAGAAAGCCACGGCUAACUACGUGCCAGCAGCCGCGGUAAUACGUAGGUGGCAAGCGUUGUCCGGAAUUAUUGGGCGUAAAGCGCGCGCAGGCGGCCUUUUAAGUCUGAUGUG
Molecule: ribosomal RNA, 249 nt
Filed under: uncultured Exiguobacterium sp.
Lineage: Bacteria; Bacillati; Bacillota; Bacilli; Caryophanales
Description: partial 16S ribosomal RNA
Rfam family: Bacterial small subunit ribosomal RNA
Source: RNAcentral